AUAUCCAUUUUGUCUCAGUAAUGGAAACGUAGCCAGCCCAGGCGUCGGUUAAGAUCUAAAGUGGACGUAAUCUCUACGUACUUAUAAUAAUGCGAGAGUGCUGAUGGGAGUCUUCGUAAUAACUCUUUUGUUAUUGGUUCGAUGUGUGGCCUUCCUACGUAGACGAACGAGCGAAGUUCAAGCAAACAACAACAACAACAGCAACAGGAAGGUGAAGCUCGAAGUACUGUGGGACCAGAUACAAUAUUCGACAAGUGGCGACAAGGCUUCGUCAUUCCAUGGCAUACGAACCGACGCAGCAGAGUGGCGCAGUGGAAGCGUGCUGGGCCCAUAACCCAGAGUUGCAGGUACCAUGACCACUACAACCGCAUACUGUUGUCACAUCAACUCGAUAAAAUGGACGUCUGGUGGCAACGCGCUAAAGGCAGCCCAGUGAGAGCUGCGUAAUAAUAAAUAGUAAUACUUGACGCUCUCCACAGUUGUGGUAUCAUUCGAUAGCGCCAAGUUGGCGGGAAGUGGCACGAACAGCGCCAUUAUGUUUUAGUCAGG
This is an RNA transcript of Varroa destructor (honeybee mite), 549 nucleotides long. RefSeq lists it as uncharacterized. Lineage: Eukaryota; Metazoa; Arthropoda; Arachnida; Mesostigmata; Varroidae. The record is from RefSeq and is a predicted model, not a curated record.